AGUCACUGACAUUAGAUACCCCUGUAGUCCAGGGUGUAAACGCUGCAGACUUGGUGUUGGAGAUCCUUCGAGGGUAUUCAGUGCCGGAGAGAAGUUGUUAAGUCUGCUACUUGGGGAGUACGUCCGCAAGGAUGAAACUUAAAGGAAUUGGCGGGGGAGCACCGCAACGGGAGGAGCGUGCGGUUUAAUUGGAUUCAACACCGUAAAACUCACCAGGGAAGACUGUUACAUGAAGGCCGAGAUGAAGACUCUGCUAGAUUUUCAG
This 265-nucleotide ribosomal RNA is filed under the name uncultured archaeon. RNAcentral describes it as "partial 16S ribosomal RNA". It matches the Rfam family "Archaeal small subunit ribosomal RNA", at positions 718 to 982 of the family's 1478-position model. The record is from RNAcentral.